Molecule: ribosomal RNA, 1013 nt
Filed under: Talaromyces piceae
Lineage: Eukaryota; Fungi; Ascomycota; Eurotiomycetes; Eurotiales; Trichocomaceae
Description: SSU rRNA
Rfam family: Eukaryotic small subunit ribosomal RNA
Source: RNAcentral
AACUGCGAAUGGCUCAUUAAAUCAGUUAUCGUUUAUUUGAUAGUACCCUACUACAUGGAUACCUGUGGUAAUUCUAGAGCUAAUACAUGCGCAAAACCCCGACUUCGGAAGGGGUGUAUUUAUUAGAUAAAAAACCAAUGCCCUUCGGGGCUCCUUGGUGAUUCAUAAUAACUUAACGAAUCGCAUGGCCUUGCGCCGGCGAUGGUUCAUUCAAAUUUCUGCCCUAUCAACUUUCGAUGGUAGGAUAGUGGCCUACCAUGGUGGCAACGGGUAACGGGGAAUUAGGGUUCGAUUCCGGAGAGGGAGCCUGAGAAACGGCUACCACAUCCAAGGAAGGCAGCAGGCGCGCAAAUUACCCAAUCCCGAUUCGGGGAGGUAGUGACAAUAAAUACUGAUAUAGGGCUCUUUUGGGUCUUAUAAUUGGAAUGAGUACAAUCUAAAUCCCUUAACGAGGAACAAUUGGAGGGCAAGUCUGGUGCCAGCAGCCGCGGUAAUUCCAGCUCCAAUAGCGUAUAUUAAAGUUGUUGCAGUUAAAAAGCUCGUAGUUGAACCUUGGGCCCGUCCUGCCGGUCCGCCUCACCGCGAGUACUGGUCCGGAUGGGCCUUUCUUUCUGGGGAAUCCCAUGGCCUUCACUGGCUGUGGCGGGGAACCAGGACUUUUACUGUGAAAAAAUUAGAGUGUUCAAAGCAGGCCUUUGCUCGGAUACAUUAGCAUGGAAUAAUAGAAUAGGACGUGCGGUUCUAUUUUGUUGGUUUCUAGGACCGCCGUAAUGAUUAAUAGGGAUAGUCGGGGGCGUCAGUAUUCAGCUGUCAGAGGUGAAAUUCUUGGAUUUGCUGAAGACUAACUACUGCGAAAGCAUUCGCCAAGGAUGUUUUCAUUAAUCAGGGAACGAAAGUUAGGGGAUCGAAGACGAUCAGAUACCGUCGUAGUCUUAACCAUAAACUAUGCCGACUAGGGAUCGGGCGGUGUUUCUAUGAUGACCCGCUCGGCACCUUACGAGAAAUCAAAGUUU